UAUCUAUGUUAAGAUAGAGUGGUAAUGUAUGUUAACUUUUUAUAUUGUUGCUAUAGGAUACUGUUGAUUUUUAUAAAUCUUGUUAGCUUUACUUGCAAAUUCAGUGUUGUGUAGUCAGAGGAAGAAAUGCUGACACUAUGGUGUAAACCUUCUGGGGUUUUAUAUCAAUUAGUUUACAGUACUUCAAACUGCAGCUGACAAGGGCAUUUUUCUCCAUUAGCAUGGUUGCCCCAUACUGCAGGCAAUUUGAGUGCCACUGAGAACACAAUUGACACUUGUUUAGUAAACAGGCCCUUUAAUCAGAUCUUUUAAACAAUAGCUGUGUGUGGGAACUAAUAAAUCUGAGUGCAGUUCCAGGAAAAUUUACUCAUGAGACUCCAUUGUAUUAAGGACACUUAUGGGGGAUUGCUUUGUGAAUUUGGGUAUUCAAAUUUGACUAAGAUUAGCAAGUUUGUUUUAACAAACAAGGAAAAAGAAACCCUUUGAAAGAAAGAAGCUUGACAGACAUGCCAAUAUAAUAACAGAUUUGACAUAGUUAUUCAUAACGCCACUCAAUAUUAGAAUAAGAAUUGUCUGCAGUGCUGAUACAGGGCUCAAAACUGAUUUUAGUACAGAUAUACCUAAUGAAAUAACUUUGGAAUUCUCUUUAAAAAACAAUGAUGUAAUGUUAUGCAUCAGAGGGAUUGCUAUAGAUGCUAAUGGAGAAAUGGGAAGGUUAGAAGGGAAGGAAUUUUUAUUUCUUUUUCCUCCAUCAAAAAGGGGGUGGGGGAAACAACUUGCACAAAUUAGGAAAGGAACAAAAGAGUCAAAAGGUCCCAUAAAGGAAGAAAAAUUAUCUUUGAGUAUUUUAGAAUUACUUUCUAAUAUUCAAAAUAGUGGAUUUGCUUUUACUUUUGUGGGAUAUUUCUGAUUUUUAUCUAGUUCGUUCUUUCUCAUUUAUUCUAAGCACUCCUAAAGUGGGAAAUCUCUUUGGUGGGUCUACUGAAUUCAAGCUUCUAGUUCAAGUGAGAUGUUUAGGGUCUCUGAAGUCAGAGAGAGAUGUCCAGAAGAUGAUUCUUCUCAAUUUCUCUAUUGAUCAUACAGGGACCCUCAGCAUCCCACCUCUCUUAGGCAGGUAAACUUUGUGUGAUAACGCAGGCAGGUGUGUUACACCUCUUGUGUGUGGCCCAGUGCAGCACCAUGUGGAGAUUACAGCAGCUGCAGGUACUCGUGCUCAUGUAGCAUUUCAUCUGCUGAGUAUCCCUGUUCCUUAGUGAACUUAUGCACUUCUGAGACAGUUCUGUUUUAUAAGCAUUAUUGCUAUUAUAAUCCAAACAGUUUGAAGACUGUGUAAAACUGUAGUCAACAAUAUGAACUCAUGCGUCAUGCAGCUGUACUUUUUACAGUAACUAUGAGAUCUUACAGGACACGUUAAUUAGAUUAUGGGAGGAAAAUUACUGUAACUGAAAUGUUUUAAAAUAGGCUUAUGAAUGUAGUAAAAGGAGCUGUCAUGGAAUACAUUUAAAAGUGUUAAUAUGUAAAAUGGUACUGUGUGUGGAUUAUACAAUGAUGUUCUGCAAAGAAUUGUAGUACACUAAUGUUAUGGAAAUAAAUAGAAAUGGAAAGGA
Long non-coding RNA from Strigops habroptila (Kakapo), 1607 nucleotides. Lineage: Eukaryota; Metazoa; Chordata; Aves; Psittaciformes; Psittacidae. The record is from Ensembl.